AGAGCCUCGGCGCAACGUCGUAGUCCGCCGUCGGUCUAAGUGCUUCGCAGUCGCCGUCCCGAAGAAAACUGGGCCACUCCAGUUUGGGGCGGGGGCGAUGCUACUGAGACGAUGCCUCGCGCCAAGCCAAUUAGUCGCGUGCACGGUCGCUUAUCACGCAACUGCUCGUACGGCGCACGCGCGCAGGCGGUUACGCCAGCCAGCCUUGUCUAUAAGUAGCCCCGUGCUUGGGCGAAGGACUUGGUAGGGCGUCGUACUCGGUUGGCCGGUGGGUUUGCCGAACGUUUCCUUUUUCUUCUUCUCCGCACAGAACGAGAAACACGGUCGCUUAUCACGCAACUGCUCGUACGGCGCACGCGCGCAGGCGGUUACGCCAGCCAGCCUUGUCUAUAAGUAGCCCCGUGCUUGGGCGAAGGACUUGGUAGGGCGUCGUACUCGGUUGGUCGGUGGGUUUGCCGAACGUGUCUCGUCAAAGAAAGCGAAAAGCGCGGUCUCUUAUCACGCAACUGCUCGU
This 514-nucleotide ribosomal RNA is filed under the name Hyalomma rufipes. RNAcentral describes it as "partial 5.8S ribosomal RNA". The record is from RNAcentral. Lineage: Eukaryota; Metazoa; Arthropoda; Arachnida; Ixodida; Ixodidae.